This is a small nuclear RNA of Solanum dulcamara, 192 nucleotides long. RefSeq annotates it as U2 spliceosomal RNA. NCBI's taxonomy places the organism in Eukaryota, Viridiplantae, Streptophyta, Magnoliopsida, Solanales, Solanaceae. The transcript has a single exon. The record is from RefSeq and is a predicted model, not a curated record.
AUAUCUUUCUCGGCCUUUUGGCUAAGAUAAAGUGCAGUAUCUGUUUUUUCACUUUAAUGUUUAAUAUGUGGUUUAUUGGUCCAUAUGAUAUUAACUCAAUUUUUUAAGGGAAAGAGUCCAUUGAGGUAGCCUGGUAUCUGGGCUCUUGCGCGAAGAGUGUUGCCCGGAAUCCGAUGUCAAUUGGUUACCAAC